CCGCCAUCGGCUCGAAGGUCCAUGCCGGCGCCCGCUCUUCAGUACCGGUGGAAUAGAGUGUGACGAUCUCGGCCUGCUGCUGUCUCGCAGUUUGAGAAAUGAUCGUAUCGGCGUUGGCCGCCGUAAGCGUGCCGGCCUUGAGACAGGCCGCGACCACCUCGGCUGCGGACGCGCCGGAUCCGGUCAGAUCGACUUUCAGCCCCAUCAUGUGAUGGAAGCGAUAGUUCAUCACGGCGAGGCAACCAUUUGCGUCGAACAUGCAAAGACCAUGAGGCAUGUUGUUCAAUGCCGUGUCGAACUGAGCCGCGAUCGCUGCUUCUCGCUCGUUUGCCAGCAGCGCUUUCACAAAGAUCGAGUGAAGGCUGAGAUUGAUGUCCUUCAAACCCAGGAAGAACAGCACUAGCAAUCCCGCCAGCCCGAUAUGGUAGAGAUCGCCGUGGAUGGCGAGC
RNAcentral lists this unclassified non-coding RNA (449 nucleotides) under Hevea brasiliensis (rubber tree). Lineage: Eukaryota; Viridiplantae; Streptophyta; Magnoliopsida; Malpighiales; Euphorbiaceae. The record is from RNAcentral.